Molecule: unclassified non-coding RNA, 270 nt
Filed under: plant metagenome
Description: partial contains small subunit ribosomal RNA and internal transcribed spacer 1
Rfam family: Eukaryotic small subunit ribosomal RNA (bases 1-47)
Source: RNAcentral
AAGUCGUAACAAGGUUUCCGAUAGGUGAACCUGCGGAAGGAUCAUUACAAAUAAAAGCGUGGAUAAGGAAGUGGGGUCUUGAUCUGUAAGUGGUAGAGGCGAACAGUCCUGGCUGCCUCCCGAAAUGUCAUUACAUGUCCCCCAUCAUGCCUGAAGGCCGAAUUACAACCCUUGAUUAUCUACACUUGUUAGCUUUGGGGUGCUCAAGUGCCCCAGAGGACCCAACUCUCUUGCAUUUAGUGACGUCUGAGUACUAUAUAAUAUUUAAAA